Molecule: ribosomal RNA, 251 nt
Filed under: uncultured prokaryote
Description: partial 16S rRNA
Rfam family: Bacterial small subunit ribosomal RNA
Source: RNAcentral
ACGAAGGGGGCUAGCGUUGUUCGGAAUUACUGGGCGUAAAGCGCACGUAGGCGGACAUUUAAGUCAGGGGUGAAAUCCCAGGGCUCAACCCUGGAACUGCCUUUGAUACUGGGUGUCUUGAGUACGAGAGAGGUGAGUGGAAUUCCGAGUGUAGAGGUGAAAUUCGUAGAUAUUCGGAAGAACACCAGUGGCGAAGGCGGCUCACUGGCUCGUAACUGACGCUGAGGUGCGAAAGCGUGGGGAGCAAACAG